This 351-nucleotide ribosomal RNA is filed under the name uncultured bacterium. RNAcentral's name for it is "partial 16S ribosomal RNA". It matches the Rfam family "Bacterial small subunit ribosomal RNA", at positions 338 to 706 of the family's 1533-position model. The record is from RNAcentral.
CCUACGGGCGGCAGCAGUGGGGAAUAUUGCACAAUGGGGGAAACCCUGAUGCAGCAACGCCGCGUGAGUGAAGAAGUAUUUCGGUAUGUAAAGCUCUAUCAGCAGGGAAGAAGAUGACGGUACCUGAAUAAGUAGCCCCGGCUAACUACGUGCCAGCAGCCGCGGUAAUACGGAGGGGGCAAGCGUUAUCCGGAUUUACUGGGUGUAAAGGGAGCGCAGACGGCGGGGCAAGUCAGGAGUGAAAGCCGGGGGCCCAACCGUAAAAUGGCACGGGAAACUGGGAGGCUAGAGUACUGGAGAGGGAGGCGGAAUUCGUGGUGUAGCGGGGAAAUGAUUAGAUAGAAGGAAGAA